RNAcentral lists this ribosomal RNA (696 nucleotides) under Pseudomonadota bacterium. RNAcentral's name for it is "bacterial SSU rRNA". It matches the Rfam family "Bacterial small subunit ribosomal RNA", at positions 32 to 723 of the family's 1533-position model. The record is from RNAcentral. Lineage: Bacteria; Pseudomonadati; Pseudomonadota.
AACGCUGGCGGCAUGCCUUACACAUGCAAGUCGAACGGCAGCACGGGAGCAAUCCUGGUGGCGAGUGGCGAACGGGUGAGUAAUAUAUCGGAACGUGCCCAGUCGUGGGGGAUAACGCAGCGAAAGCUGUGCUAAUACCGCAUACGAUCUAUGGAUGAAAGCGGGGGAUCGCAAGACCUCGCGCGAUUGGAGCGGCCGAUAUCAGAUUAGGUUGUUGGUGGGGUAAAAGCCCACCAAGCCGACGAUCUGUAGCUGGUCUGAGAGGACGACCAGCCACACUGGAACUGAGACACGGUCCAGACUCCUACGGGAGGCAGCAGUGGGGAAUUUUGGACAAUGGGCGCAAGCCUGAUCCAGCAAUGCCGCGUGCAGGAUGAAGGCCUUCGGGUUGUAAACUGCUUUUGUACGGAACGAAACGGCCUACUCUAAUACAGUGGGCUAAUGACGGUACCGUAAGAAUAAGCACCGGCUAACUACGUGCCAGCAGCCGCGGUAAUACGUAGGGUGCGAGCGUUAAUCGGAAUUACUGGGCGUAAAGCGUGCGCAGGCGGUUAUAUAAGACAGAUGUGAAAUCCCCGGGCUCAACCUGGGACCUGCAUUUGUGACUGUAUAGCUAGAGUGCGGCAGAGGGGGAUGGAAUUCCGCGUGUAGCAGUGAAAUGCGUAGAUAUGCGGAGGAACACCGAUGGCGAAGGCA